Long non-coding RNA from Vidua chalybeata, 1056 nucleotides. RefSeq lists it as uncharacterized. The record is from RefSeq and is a predicted model, not a curated record. Lineage: Eukaryota; Metazoa; Chordata; Aves; Passeriformes; Viduidae. The transcript is spliced from 3 exons.
UCCCCAACGGUUCCAUCCCACUGUUCCUGUCACCAAUGGCUCAUGUUCUUGUCACCAAUGGCUCCACCCCACUGUCCCUGUCACCAGUGGUUCCACCCCAUUGUCCCUGUCACUGACACCAAGAGCUCCACCCCACUGUCCCUGUCCCCAAUGGCUCCUGUCCCUGUCCCAGUGGCUCCAUCCCCCUGUCCCUGCUGUUUAACUGGUGUUAAACAGCACCAGUGCCAAUGCCUGCCCUGGAACACCACUGCUCCCUGGGCGUCCAGCAGCUGCCGGCAGCUCUGAGCGUGACCAUCCAGCCAAUUCCUCAUCCACGAUCCAUCCAACUCCAGUUCAGAGACAGGGAGAGCCCUCAUCUCAAAAUGCACAAAGAUGACCUCAGGAGGACCCUGCUAAACACAGCAGCUCUGUGAUUCUGCAAAAUAUGGCUUGAAAACAGCAAAGAAGAAAGUUUUGGCGUUUUGCUGAUUUAAAAUAUCACAAGAGCAUCCCAGCCUAAAAGUUCUCUUGCCACAGACUGGACAGAAUUGAAUUACAUGCUGAGAAUUACUCACUUACAUGGCUAUGACAAGCAUAAAAAAACCUACAGACUUUAACUAAGGACACCAAGAUAGCCCACACAGCCCUGGGAGCUGAAAUGUGUUAUCUGAUAGAAUAUGAGAACUCUGAUCACAGGAGCCUAUGGCUGGCAACAAGAGUGAAGAAGAACAGUAAAUGCAAAAUGCUGCUGAAAAACAGCCCUGAGAUUCUUUCAAAGAAAAAUCAGAGCUACCUCUGCUCAAAAUACUGUCAUCCUACCAGAGACAGAAAGGAUGAGGGGGUGGCAUUCCAAGGAGGCAGCACAACCUCCUGGCAUGGAGCUCAUUUCUGUGUCUGAGCACAGGAAACCCUCAAGUCUCACAAGCUGUGAGAUGUCUCAGGUUGAGCCUUGCAAGUGCACUGGCGAUGCACAACGUGACACAUUUCAGUACCCUUUAGUGUCAUUAACAGACUGGAUUUACUUUUAGACCAAAUAAAUAGGUAACAUCUUAAUUAUACAAACGUACUUUUCACAGC